This 562-nucleotide ribosomal RNA is filed under the name uncultured bacterium. RNAcentral's name for it is "bacterial SSU rRNA". It matches the Rfam family "Bacterial small subunit ribosomal RNA", at positions 338 to 916 of the family's 1533-position model. The record is from RNAcentral.
CCUACGGGAGGCAGCAGUGGGGAAUUUUCCGCAAUGGGCGAAAGCCUGACGGAGCAAUACCGCGUGAGGGAGGAAGGCUCUUGGGUUGUAAACCUCUUUUUUCAGGGAAGAUAAUGACGGUACCUGAGGAAUAAGCAUCGGCUAACUCCGUGCCAGCAGCCGCGGUAAUACGGAGGAUGCAAGCGUUAUCCGGAAUGAUUGGGCGUAAAGCGUCCGCAGGUGGUUUUAAAAGUCUGUUGUUAAAGCGUGAGGCUUAACCUCAUAAGGGCAAUGGAAACUGUAAGACUAGAGUACGUUCGGGGCAAGGGGAAUUCCCAGUGUAGCGGUGAAAUGCGUAGAGAUUGGGAAGAACACCGGUGGCGAAAGCGCCUUGCUAGGCCGUAACUGACACUGAGGGACGAAAGCUAGGGGAGCGAAUGGGAUUAGAUACCCCAGUAGUCCUAGCCGUAAACGAUGGAUACUAGGCGUUGUCUGUAUCGACCCGGACAGUGCCGUAGCUAACGCGUUAAGUAUCCCGCCUGGGGAGUACGCACGCAAGUGUGAAACUCAAAUGAAUUGACGG